GAAACGCGAUAGGUAAUGUGAAUUGCAGAAUUCAGUGAAUCAUCGAAUCUUUGAACGCACCUUGCGCUCCUUGGUAUUCCGAGGAGCAUGCCUGUUUGAGUGUCAUGAAUACCUCAAACCCCAAUGUUUUUUGAAAGAAAUUCAUUGCUUGGGUUUGGUUGUGGGCCGUUAUUGCUGUGUCAAAGCAGCUGGCCUUAAAGAGAUUAGCUGGACUAUCCGACUCUUGGUAGUUUCCACUUGAUGUGAUAAAAUUGCAUUGGUGGGCAAAAGACUGCUCAAGGACAGAGAAGUCUGCUUCCAACCCGGCGCGAGGCUUGAAACCCUCAACCCACUUCAUUUACAUCUCUGGCCUCAAAUCAGGUAGGAUUACCCGCUGAACUUAA
This 383-nucleotide unclassified non-coding RNA is filed under the name uncultured Sympodiomycopsis. Its description in RNAcentral is "sequence contains ITS1". The stretch from base 1 to 105 matches the Rfam family "5.8S ribosomal RNA", at positions 50 to 154 of the family's 154-position model. The record is from RNAcentral. Lineage: Eukaryota; Fungi; Basidiomycota; Exobasidiomycetes; Microstromatales.